Molecule: ribosomal RNA, 453 nt
Filed under: uncultured bacterium
Lineage: Bacteria
Description: bacterial SSU rRNA
Rfam family: Bacterial small subunit ribosomal RNA
Source: RNAcentral
AGAGUUUGAUCAUGGCUCAGAGCGAACGCUGGCGGCAGGCCUAAACAUGCAAGUCGAACGGAUCCUUCGGGAUUAGUGGCGGACGGGUGAGUAACACGUGGGAACGUGCCUUUUGGUUCGGAACAACUCAGGGAAACUUGAGCUAAUACCGAAUGUGCCCUUCGGGGGAAAGAUUUAUCGCCAUUAGAGCGGCCCGCGUCUGAUUAGCUUGUUGGUGAGGUAAAAGGCUCACCAAGGCGACGAUCAGUAGCUGGUCUGAGAGGAUGAUCAGCCACACUGGGACUGAAACACGGCCCAGACUCCUACGGGAGGCAGCAGUUAGGAAUCUUGCGCAAUGGGGGAAACCCUGACGCAGCCAUGCCGCGUGAAUGAUGAAGGUCUUAGGAUUGUAAAAUUCUUUCAGCGGGGACGAUAAUGACGGUACCCGCAGAAGAAGCCCCGGCUAACUUCGUG